Molecule: ribosomal RNA, 460 nt
Filed under: uncultured bacterium
Lineage: Bacteria
Description: partial 16S ribosomal RNA
Rfam family: Bacterial small subunit ribosomal RNA
Source: RNAcentral
CCUACGGGGUGCAGCAGUGAGGAAUAUUGGUCAAUGGACGAGAGUCUGAACCAGCCAAGUAGCGUGAAGGAUGACUGCCCUAUGGGUUGUAAACCUCUUUUGUCGGGGAGCAAGGCCCGCCACGUGUGGCGGGAAGGAGAGUACCCGAAGAAAAAGCAUCGGCUAACUCCGUGCCAGCAGCCGCGGUAAUACGGAGUAUGCGAGCGUUAGCCGGAUUUAUUGGGUUUAAAGGGUGCGUAGGCGGAAGGUUAAGUCAGCGGUCAAAUGUCGGUGCUCAACACCGGCCUGUCGUUGAAACUGGUCUUCUUGAGUGAGCGAGAAGUAUGCGGAAUGCGUGGUGUAGCGGUGCAAUGCAUAGAUAUCACGCAGAACUCCGAUUGCGAAGGCAGCAUACCGGCGCUCAACUGACGCUGAGGCACGAAAGCGUGGGGAUCGAACAGGAUUAGAUACCCCAGUAGUC